UUUCACUAAGACUAAUUAGUGCAUAAUAUAUUAUAUUAACCAUAAGAGUCUUAAGACCAAACAUCAAGCAUUAUUGUACUACUGCAGUAGGCAGGCGCAGCAGUACACACAACAACAUAGAAACUCAAGCACUGCAAUAGGCAUAGACAACACCUAGCAGCCAAUAAGCAGCUAGUGCAGACUACAAAUUUCCAACUGAAACCUAACUUUGAGAAAUUUACACACUUCCCGUUCCAGAUAAUCCAGACUACAAUCUACAAAGACUAAAAAAACAUCCAUUAAUAAUUUAAGCUUCAUACACAAAACAAAAUGAGUAACAAAACAUGUACAAUAGACUCAACAGUUACAUAUUAAUCAUAAAAAGGAUGAACAAACAUUUGAAGGAAUUAUGGAUUCAGUUACAUAAUAUGUUUUAAUUGUAAGAGAGGGAGUUAACAAAGAAAUAUUGUCAUUAUAACAGAAAACUAUGCUCAGUAAGAAUUUGUGUCAGUUAGCGCAUAUAGUCUAUAUAGACGAGAAACAAGGCAAUAUAAAUCAAUGAGAUAUGAAGAAUGGACAUAAGUAGAAGCAUUAAAGAAAGAUCCAAGUGUAUCAAAUGCAAAUUACCACUUCUAAGAAGAAUAUUAUAUCAUAGAAGAAGCAUCCAUUAAAUAACAAAAACCAGCAAUCAGUUUUUAGUUUUUAAUCUGAAACAGUUGAAUUCAAAUAAUAAUUAAAUUGCAAGUAUCAAUUAUAUAUGUUUCUAUUUGCAGAAAGUAUCUAGUAUCAAGUAUAUAUGUUCCUGUUUGUAUAAAAAUUGAAUUGCAAUUAAAAAUUAAAAACUUAUAUAUAUUAAUUCAAGUAACAUUUUCUAAAAAUUUAAAAUUGAAUUGUAAUGAUGAAUCGAGAGAUGAAUUUACCUCAUUAAUCAAGUUGAGUUACGGAAACAUUGGCAUCAUUAGUAGCAAGGCUCAACUUGGACAUUGUAGAAAAUUGAACAAUAUAAUUAAACACAUUAUUUUUAUAAAUUAUUUUAUUAGUUCAAUAAAAUAAACAAAAACAAUAAUUAUUACCACACUCAAGUUUACUGACAAAGUCGCUAUCUUCCGCCACAUCAAUACGAUUCUUCAUUUUCAUCCAAUCUUGAGAACACAUGAGAGCUUCCACCAUAUUAGGAGACAAUGAACUCCUAAAUGCAUCAAGAAUGCGUCCUCCCGUGCUAAAUUGGACUCCGAAGCAACGGUAGACAUGGAAAUAGCCAACACAUCACGAGAAAUACAUGCAAGAAUAAGGAAUCUUGCACUAUUAACUUUCCACCACACCAAAAUACUGAAUGUCGCAUCGGCUUCUUCCACAUCUUCACUUAAAUACUUGUCCAAUUCCAAUUUUUCUCCAAGUAUAACUCCGAUCCAACGCUUUUUGAACUCUUCUGUAAUUCUAUUUUUAUUUUUGGAUUCCAUUGCAUUAGAACCUUGGGAUGACAUGUUACUUAAACUUGAUUUUUUAGUUUCUUGAGUUGAAUACUUUUUUCUGUACCCAUUAAACAAAUCUUCCAUUGCUCUCAUCACACCAUCGUCAAUCUCCAUCCCAGUGGCCUUAUUAUUUGAUUGAUAUUCUAAAUCAAUAUCUUCAUUAUCAGUAUCAAAAUGAAGAUCUACUUCCAACCCCUCCUACGGAUUUUCAACUUUAAUUUCAGCAUCUCCAUACAUUCUUUCUAAACCAAAACAAAACUCAACUUAUAGCGAGGAUCAAGCACAACGGGAAUAUUUAACAACAUAUUCAUCUUUGUAACAUUUCCCCAAUACUUAUCAUAUUUUCUUUUCAUUGCCUUGGCCAUUUUUUGCAAUUCUCUAUCAUUGCUUCUUUCCCAAUCACUCAAAAUAAUAUAAGUGUCACAUAUUUCAAGAAAAGCACUAUUUGAUGUGAUAUAAGAUGAGCCCGAAAUAUGCACAGUGAGAUUAUAAAAAUAUUCUAAGAAUCCAACAAAUAAUUUAUCCCUAUUCCAAUCCGAGUCCGUUGGAAUAUUUUAGCCCCCCAUCUCUUUUUCAAAGCCACGAUCUUCAAACCCAAAUCGAUUAAAAGCUUCUUUGUAUUUUAAGGUCGAACUCAACAUUAGGUAAGUAGAGUUACAUCUAGUUGGGCAAUCUAUACUUAAGCCUUUCUUAUCUUCAAAACCACAAUGCUCGAUACAGUCCUUAAAUGACUUGACCCUAGCCGGGGAUUAUUUUGUAUACUUCACUGCAUGCCUAACUGUCUCAACAGAUUUCUCAAUCAAAUUCAACCCAUCAUUCACAACAAGAUUAAUAAUGUGAGCUAUACAUCUCAUGUGAAUGAAAUUACCAUCUAAGACAUUAGUUUUGCAAGAUGUACAUCUAUCUCUCAAGUAAGUCGUCGUAGUAUCAUUUGAGCUAGCGUUAUCUACACUGAGUGUCAUAACUUUAGAAAGUCCCCACUCUUUCAUACAAGACAAAAAUUUCCCCAAUGUCCUUCCCCUUAUGACUUGUGAUGGUUCGAAAAUUUAAGAUUUUCUUAUGCAAUUUCCAAUUUUCAUCAAUAAAAUUCGCAGUAACACACAUAUAAUUCAAGCAUUGAUUAGAAGUCCAAGAAUCAGUUAUGAGGCAAACACAUUCAAAAAAUUUUCUAAGUAUUGUUUUCAACUUAAUCUUCUCAUUAUUAUACAAACGAAUACAAUCUCUAGCAAAUGUAAAAUGUGAAUGCAAUUGAAAUCUAGGACAAGCAACUUGCAUAAGUCUUUUAAAACCCUCCUUCUCAACAUAUUUGAAAGGAAGUUCAUAUACAAUAAGAUGGUAAAUCACGGCUGCCCUAACCGCUUCUUGGUCAAACCUCCAAGCAGUGAGUGUACCCUCACAUGCCCCUCCCUCCCCAUCACCCUCUUUAAUCCCUACAAGUUGGGUUUGAGCUUUAUCCAUGUUGGUAGGAUGUUUUUUUACAAGUUCUAAAGUGAUUUCUUAAAGAAGUAGUACCAUUUGAAGAUGAAUCAGCAGCUAAUUCUUUUCCACAAUAAGUACACUUACCUUUGAUGACAGUAAUUAUCAUGCUUAUCUUUAACUGGAAUGAAGUGCCCCUCAGUCCACACCUUAGAUCUAGUAUCAUCCUCUUUCUUUGCAUCUUUACACUUUCUAAUUAUUUUGUAGUCUUUGUACUUGUCGAGGUUUCCUUUGACUAGGGCUCUAUAUUGGUGGGAACACUGCCACCUAACUCUUUCUCAUGUCCAAUUGCAUCAAGGUCAUCAAGAUUAGGCUCGUCUGUAUCAUCCACCAUGUGCAAAUCAUUUAAAACACUUCUUGACAUCAUCUGAAAAUGUCAAACAAAUCAAAUUGGAUUAACGAAGAAUGUUUGAAAAGGAUAAAUUAACCACAAUCCAAUAAACAACUCCAAUUAAAAAAAAUGAGAGAAAACAUCUAUUUAACUCUUAAAACUUUUAGAGUAGUUGACUCUUUCGCUCGGACUCACUACCAACUCCGGAGGGGCCCCUCUAUUUAAGGUUGAUUUCACACAAGAUUGUCAUAAGGGAGAACCUAGGUCUUCAUGCUUUAUUUGUUUAACCAGAAAGGCAGAAAAGAGAAAACAAAUAUUACAAUUUACUGUUGUGGCAUAAAUAUUUGGCCUAUCCUCUACAAAUUUAUGCAAGAGAUUAACACGAGUUAAAUUGCUAAAAUGAACAGUGUAUUUUAUAGUCUUUUCAUGUAAACAGAAAAGGUCAAAAUGUAUUUUAUGCAUCAUUUAAACAAAUUAAUAUCAAGAAGCAUGAUUGAUGUGUGCGAAAUUAGGCAUGACGUGAUAAAAAUCAUAGGAAGUACAUAAUAUAAGUAUUCACAGAGUUAUUUUCUGAUCGCCAAUUCGCUAAUUAAAUGAGUUAUUUUCUUAACUUGCAGUUAAACCAUUCCAGCUAAACAAUGCAAGAAAAACUUGUGAAGGCAACAAUCCAUAAGUCGUAAGGAAAAAAGACCGCAUUUUUAAAGAUAUUACAUAAUCAAUCAAAAUAGGCAUUGCAAUAUUUGAAGUGCAUUGCAAAGCACAGACAAGUGCAUCUUGGUAACUUACAUUAGCACCUAAAAUGUCAUCCAAUUUUUUUUUGAGAACCCAAUAAGCUAUUGCCAAUUUUUAAACACAUCCAAUUUGACAACAUACAAUACAAUACAAUCCAAAUCCCAAAUCUGCAAGACACACAGCAAAACAAAUAGACCCCCUAAAUCAAUACUGAGUUAGUGAAUUUUGAAUAAUACCCAUAUCAUAAAAGAAACCCUAGAUUUCAAGCAAAUCAAGGCUAGAAAAGAACUUUUCCUGUAUACCCAUUAGUCCAUUACCCACCACAUAUUUUUAUUUAUCCAAAAAGGGGGCUAGAAAUGAACAUAAAAACAAUAAGAUCUACGAACUUUUCCUGUAUUCAAUCACAAUUAGGGUGACAAUAUGGCUUCUUACUUCUUACUAUGAUAUACAUAAUUGAAAAUAUACAGACUGUAUACACACAAAAAAUUGAAAAAAAAAGUACAAAGAGACGAGGACUAAUCAAAACAAGUAAACAACAUGUACUUCAGCACUUGAAUCUUGAUAGUGAUUAGUGAAUGAAAAUUUACCUGGAUUCGAAACUCGAAAGAAAGGUCGAGCCAUCAAGGUUGAAGAAUAGAGUCGCCGAGUCGCAUGGAGAGAGGCCGAGGCGCAAAGCUGUGAAGGGUGAGACGAUGAGAGACAAAGGCCGGAGACUAAGAGUCGAGUAGUCGUCAGUCGAGUCGAGAGGCAAGACUUGAGAUCUGGGAUUUGGGAAUAGAAAUUAGGGGUGGCUA
RNAcentral lists this long non-coding RNA (4784 nucleotides) under Panax ginseng (ginseng). RNAcentral's name for it is "long non-coding RNA (PGIN_LNC004947)". Lineage: Eukaryota; Viridiplantae; Streptophyta; Magnoliopsida; Apiales; Araliaceae. The record is from RNAcentral.